RNAcentral lists this ribosomal RNA (431 nucleotides) under uncultured bacterium. Its description in RNAcentral is "bacterial SSU rRNA". It matches the Rfam family "Bacterial small subunit ribosomal RNA", at positions 8 to 429 of the family's 1533-position model. The record is from RNAcentral.
AGAGUUUGAUCCUGGCUCAGAGCGAACGCUGGCGGCGUGCUUAACACAUGCAAGUCGAACGCGCAGCAUUCUGUAGCAAUACAGGGUGUGGGCGCGUGGCGAACGGGUGCGUAACACGUGGAUAACCUUCCUUCAGGUGGGGAAUAACCCAGUGAAAACUGGGCUAAUACCGCAUAACAUGACGAUGGCACAUGCUGUUGUCUUCAAAGGCGCAAGUCGCCAGAAGAGGGAUCCGCGGCCGAUUAGCUUGUUGGCGGGGUAAUGGCCCACCAAGACAGUGAUCGGUAUCCGGCCUGAGAGGGCGCACGGACACACUGGAACUGAAACACGGUCCAGACUCCUACGGGAGGCAGCAGUGGGGAAUUUUGCGCAAUGGGGGAAACCCUGACGCAGCAACGCCGCGUGGAGGAUGAAGUACUUCGGUACGUAAA